This 631-nucleotide unclassified non-coding RNA is filed under the name uncultured fungus. Its description in RNAcentral is "sequence contains 18S rRNA gene, ITS1, 5.8S rRNA gene, ITS2, 28S rRNA gene". The record is from RNAcentral. Lineage: Eukaryota; Fungi.
UCCUGCAUCACGGCGUUCGUACCUGCCUCGAAUAUCAGCGCACCGGCGACGCGGCUGCCGCGCGGCGGCUGUCGAACCCUGAUCUCGCGCCGCAUCUGGCCUUCCUGGACAUGGGCGGCCACGGCUACGCCGUGCUCAGGUUGGGCGCGGAUAGGGUGGAGUGCGAGUUCGUGUGCAUUCCCCGGCCGAGCGAGCCGACUUCUGAGCGGGAUGGCGGACCAAUUCGGUACCGCGUCGUGCACCGGGCGGCGCGGUGGCCGUCCGGCGGGCGUCCGCAUCUCGAACAACUGGUCGUCGAAGGCGAUCCGGACCUCGCGUUGUGAGCGCCGUCGGCACGCUCAGCGCAUCGGAUUCGUGAGAUCCAAAUCGGAUCGGUCCAGCACGUUGUCCGCGCCACCGACACGAAACCAGCGCCACGCGUGCCCCUCCAGUUCGAUGUGGUGCGCGCCGUCGUCGCGGACCUUGCUGUGCCGGCCGUCAAACACUUCGACGAGGAGUCCAUCGCGGGCGCAUCCGAUUUUCGCUCUCACCGUUUGCUUCGCACUGCUGAAAUUAUGAACGGUCACCAAUGACGUAUUGCGCCAGUCGUAUCGCAUCGCGAGCACUUCCCGUACGUCGGUGCGCAGGACGA